AGCAGCCGCGGUAAUUCCAGCUCCAAUAGCGUAUAUUAAAGUUGUUGCAGUUAAAAAGCUCGUAGUUGAAUUUCGGGAUCAAUAUAUCGGUCGUGCCAUUGGUACGUACUGGUAUCAUUGGUUUCUUCUUUCUGACGAACCAUGAUGUCAUUAAUUUUGGUGUUAUGGGAAGUUAGGACUGUUACUUUGAAAAAAAGUUAGAGUGUUUAAAAGCAGGCUUUAGCUUGAAUACAUUAGCAUGGAAUAAUGAAAAUAGGACGUUCGAACCUAUUUUUGUUGGUUUCUAGGAUCAACGUAAUGAUUAAUAGGGAUAGUUGGGGGGCAUUAGUAUUCAAUUGUCAGAGGUGAAAUUCUUGGAUUUAUUGAAGACUAACUACUGCGAAAGCAUUUGCCAAGGAUGUUUUCAUUAAUCAAGAGCGAAAGUUAGGGGAUCGAAGACGAUCAGAUACCGUCGUAGUCUUAACCAUAAACUAUGCCGACUAGGGAUCGGAUGAUGUUAAUUUUUUCAAUGACUCAUUCG
RNAcentral lists this ribosomal RNA (520 nucleotides) under uncultured Glomus. Its description in RNAcentral is "SSU rRNA". It matches the Rfam family "Eukaryotic small subunit ribosomal RNA", at positions 569 to 1082 of the family's 1831-position model. Lineage: Eukaryota; Fungi; Glomeromycota; Glomeromycetes; Glomerales; Glomeraceae. The record is from RNAcentral.